RNAcentral lists this ribosomal RNA (497 nucleotides) under uncultured bacterium. RNAcentral describes it as "partial 16S ribosomal RNA". It matches the Rfam family "Bacterial small subunit ribosomal RNA", at positions 28 to 507 of the family's 1533-position model. The record is from RNAcentral.
GAUGAACGCUGGCGGCGUGCCUAAUACAUGCAAGUCGAGCGAACAGACGAGGAGCUUGCUCCUCUGACGUUAGCGGCGGACGGGUGAGUAACACGUGGAUAACCUACCUAUAAGACUGGGAUAACUUCGGGAAACCGGAGCUAAUACCGGAUAAUAUAUUGAACCGCAUGGUUCAAUAGUGAAUGACGGUUUUGCUGUCACUUAUAGAUGGAUCCGCGCCGCAUUAGCUAGUUGGUAAGGUAACGGCUUACCAAGGCAACGAUGCGUAGCCGACCUGAGAGGGUGAUCGGCCACACUGGAACUGAGACACGGUCCAGACUCCUACGGGAGGCAGCAGUAGGGAAUCUUCGGCAAUGGGCGAAAGCCUGACGGAGCAACGCCGCGUGAGUGAUGAAGGUCUUCGGAUCGUAAAACUCUGUUAUUAGGGAAGAACAAAUGUGUAAGUAACUAUGCACGUCUUGACGGUACCUAAUCAGAAAGCCACGGCUAACUACGUG